This is a long non-coding RNA of Chinchilla lanigera (long-tailed chinchilla), 2277 nucleotides long. RefSeq lists it as uncharacterized. Lineage: Eukaryota; Metazoa; Chordata; Mammalia; Rodentia; Chinchillidae. The record is from RefSeq and is a predicted model, not a curated record. The transcript is spliced from 3 exons.
CAGGAAGACCAAAGCCACUGUUGACUAGUCUUUGAAUUAUUAACAGAGCUGACAGUUUAGAUCUCAGUAAACAGCUUCCAGUACUCUUAUGUUAAAUGUUAAUUACAGCGUUUCAGGACUCACUAGUUAAUUGAAUUGGUAGUCAGAGAAUCUAACAGUUACUUUAUAUCGACCACACGCUGUGUGGGAGGAACGGGAACCUGCUCUCUGGGGACUGUUGAGCCAACAGCAUCAUUUCCACUAGCGGCACUGCACAGGGAUCACCACCAAAGCACGGCAGACCUCCUGCAGAGCUUGGGCCCAGUGCGGUGAGCCACGGCCUUUCUGUGGUAGUCACUGCGCUGCAACUGGAAGUUCUGGGGCCGUGGCAGAAAUGUCAACACUUGGCUACCGCAAAUCGGGCCUUGAUUCAGCAGCUUGAGAGGACGCAGCGCUGAGGAGCAGAGCCCUGGCAUCUGCAUUUCCAGCCAAACCCGCAGCGUGAGCGUGCUCAGAUCCCACUUUCAAAUCCGCUUUUCUAGAUGCGAUUUGCAAAAGUGAUCAAGGGUGGAAGAAAUGUUGGGGUCCAGCGUGAUUUUCCAGCUUUGAGCCUUGAGAAUUUAGGUUUAAGGUCGUGGUAUUUUGUGCAAUGGAAAAGGCAUAGGAAGGAAGAGAUUUCAGAGGGAAAAUAAAUCUAAGUUCACGCUGGGGCACUCUGAGCUUCUUGGGAGACAUCUAAGUGGAGAUGAGCUGGACAAGACAGAAGGUGCACUGGACAAGGUUCGACUUGGGGAGAGAGCACCGGGAAGGCUCAGCGCGGGGAACGGGGGGCUUGCAGAGAGGGUCAGCGUGAAGGAAGAAGAUCCAAGGAGUAUAACCCUUUAAUUGGCAUGCUUAGAUAGGUCAUAGUGCUGUGUGAAAAGAUAGCCCGUUUACCCGGCUCCCACCAAGCUCCGACCCUCAGCAGCGUCUCCGGCACGCCUGCCCUCUGCUCGGAGCUGCUCCACAUUCUCCCAGGACCCAGUUUGGAUCAUCGCUUAAUGAUGGGCUUCCAUAUUCCCGAAAAACUGGGAAACUGGUUGUAUAAACUCGUUUCCUCCAUCCCGACCCAACCCCUCUAGUAUUUACCCUGCUCUGCUAUACUACAUGGAAAGUUACAACUUAUUUACCUUUCUCUCAAAAUCUGAAAUCUCAGCUUUGUCAGUCCAAUAAUGCAAAUAUUUAAUUACUUUCUUACCGUGGUGCCAAAGGAUUACUUCCUUACCAUGGCUUGUUUUCCUUCUGCUUUCCGGCAUCCAAGACAAACUUGGGAUUUGUUGAAAAGUUGUAUUUAGCUUUUCUUUUUGUAACAUAAGAUAGACACACACAACGCCUGCUUGUUCCCACAUUUCAGGUUUUUCUCUGCAGCCUUCCAGACUAGAAUAGAUUUCUUUAUAAUGUUCUCCCCCACUGCUAUGGGGGUUCCUACUAUCCUGUAAUAUCAAUUGUUUCACUAGUCACUGGCCUUCGAGAAAGUUGGUGGAGGGUGGGGGGGAUGUGCAUCUAUCCUCUUAAUCUCUGCAUUUCGGAGCUGGUGCCUAGUGGGGACCAAAGGAACGUGUGCUGAAGUCCCUGGGAAGCCCGAAGCGUGUGACUAGUGCAGCUUUGGUUCCUUGCGAGAGACGUUUGGGAGGCAUCUCAGGGAACAGCAUUUCACUGAAUUUUCUUGCAUUCAGUGCAGCAGUUUGGCAACCCUUCAGAACUGCGCUCUGCAAUGAAAAUCAGAAGCUAAACACAGACCCGUUUUAGGGGGUGUGCAGCAGGCUCUGUUCUGAGCCAGCUCUGUGCACGGUGAGCAGAUGAAGUCCUCCCCACCGGCUCAUGCCAGUGGCCAUGUGCCCUGUUCUCUGCUUUCCUCUACCUCCACCCCCACCUCCACCGCCAACCUCAGCAAAAGCCCACGCUGCCUGUGCAGGGUAUGCUAAAGAUUCAGCACUUGCCUUUGGGCUAAAACAGGUGUUCUGGUAGGAAAACAAGCACUGUACUAGGAAGCACAGGAAGCAAGAAUUUUGGGGUGACUUCUAGGAUGGUUUUGUAUACAGAAAAAUCAAUUCAGUUUUACUUUGUUUUAAAAUUCUUAUUACACUUAUGAAUACAAGAACCUGCCGUCUCUUUUAAGAAGCCUUUGUUUGAGUUACAUUUCAUAUUAUUCUACUUAAAAUUUGCAAAUUUUAUCAAUCACUUACUUGCCUUUGGAAAAUAUUUGGUGUAAUAUACAAUUUCUAAGUACUUGAGUUCUGAAUUAAUAAAUAAACUAUU